GUGGUGUUUGAAAUGUUGGUCAGAGUAUAGUGAAGAGGAAACAAGGAACCAGCUCAGGAGUUAGGAAGAACAGCAGUCCCUUCAGUGAACAGGUGAAGUCCUUGGUGGCUUCACAGGAAUCCACUACAUAGGAAGAUUCUGAAUAUCCACCAGUACCAUUGAGAGAGGAGCACAACUCAUCACAGAGACGACAUUAUAUGUCAGGAUGACAUCUGUGGCUGCUAAAGGUGAUAUAAAUGUUUCUUUUAGACUUAUUUCGGAUACACAAAGAUGGAAGCCAGAGGUAACUCCAAGCUCCUGGUAUCACUGAUGCUUCUUAGUGUCUUCUGCUCAGAAACACUGGCAUUACCUCUUGAAACACAUUCUGCCGUGAGCAAGGAAUCUAGCACAACCCAUUCACUAGAAAGUUGUCAAUCUGAUGCAAUCUUUACAGACAUGUACAGAAGAUACAAGGCUGUAGUAGUGGGCUGUGGAUGAAGCUGUCUAAGAAUAGCAUUUAUAUGGCACUUGAAAGUUUGCAAAGCACUUUCUGUGUUAUCUCAUUUGAUCCAUUAAUCCGGGGAUGCCCACUCUACGAAGCUUCCUGAGAUCACCCCAGCUGGAAGCAUAGUCUCCUCGUUAUGAAUUAUAGUAAUACAUAA
Molecule: non-coding RNA, 641 nt
Organism: Phascolarctos cinereus (koala)
Lineage: Eukaryota; Metazoa; Chordata; Mammalia; Diprotodontia; Phascolarctidae
Source: RefSeq, a predicted model, not a curated record